Molecule: unclassified non-coding RNA, 224 nt
Filed under: uncultured Micrococcaceae bacterium
Lineage: Bacteria; Bacillati; Actinomycetota; Actinomycetes; Micrococcales; Micrococcaceae
Description: contains 16S-23S intergenic spacer region
Source: RNAcentral
UCCGAGUUGGCCCCGGCAGUCUCCUAUGAGUCCCCGCCAUCACGCGCUGGCAACAUAGAACGAGGGUUGCGCUCGUUGCGGGACUUAACCCAACAUUUCACAACACGAGCUGACGACAGCCAUGCACCACCUGUGAACCAGCCCCAAAGGGGAAGGACUGUUUCCAGCCCGGUCCGGUCCAUGUCAAGCCUUGGUAAGGUGGGGAUGACGUACUUGCUAGGUAA